This 425-nucleotide ribosomal RNA is filed under the name Salmonella enterica subsp. enterica serovar Dublin. RNAcentral's name for it is "partial 23S ribosomal RNA". It matches the Rfam family "Bacterial large subunit ribosomal RNA", at positions 70 to 534 of the family's 2925-position model. Lineage: Bacteria; Pseudomonadati; Pseudomonadota; Gammaproteobacteria; Enterobacterales; Enterobacteriaceae. The record is from RNAcentral.
GAUAAGCGCCGGUAAGGUGAUAUGAACCGUUAUAACCGGCGAUACCCGAAUGGGGAAACCCAGUGUGAUUCGUCACACUAUCAUUAACUGAAUCCAUAGGUUAAUGAGGCGAACCGGGGGAACUGAAACAUCUAAGUACCCCGAGGAAAAGAAAUCAACCGAGAUUCCCCCAGUAGCGGCGAGCGAACGGGGAGGAGCCCAGAGCCUGAAUCAGCAUGUGUGUUAGUGGAAGCGUCUGGAAAGGCGCGCGAUACAGGGUGACAGCCCCGUACACAAAAGCGCAUGUGCUGUGAGCUCGAUGAGUAGGGCGGGACACGUGGUAUCCUGUCUGAAUAUGGGGGGACCAUCCUCCAAGGCUAAAUACUCCUGACUGACCGAUAGUGAACCAGUACCGUGAGGGAAAGGCGAAAAGAACCCCGGCGAGG